This is a long non-coding RNA of Dermacentor silvarum, 352 nucleotides long. RefSeq lists it as uncharacterized. The record is from RefSeq and is a predicted model, not a curated record. The transcript has 3 exons. Lineage: Eukaryota; Metazoa; Arthropoda; Arachnida; Ixodida; Ixodidae.
UUGCCUAGAAAUCCUGGAGGUGAAAAUAUGGCGACGUUAGUGCCGCUUGUUGCGAGUCUCUUUUCGUGUGCUUUUUUAGUUGUGGAAAAUAGAGCGCAGGAAAUCAGAAAAUCUGAUACGGAUCGCGAUAUAAGAAGGUUUCUAAACACCACGUCACCAAUAUGGACUGUUUUUGGUUCACCUGGUGUCAUUUGCAAAUUAGACAAAAUAAAUAACGAAACCGACACUACAGUUUACCUCAACAGAACAUAUACUAGCGGCCGUCGAAGCAACACGUCCUGGGUGCUUAAAGGACUAUUUUCUGACAUUGCUAGCGAAACUGGUCAUCACACCGUGGUUCUCUAUCACACAG